This is a long non-coding RNA of Chinchilla lanigera (long-tailed chinchilla), 2868 nucleotides long. RefSeq lists it as uncharacterized. NCBI's taxonomy places the organism in Eukaryota, Metazoa, Chordata, Mammalia, Rodentia, Chinchillidae. The record is from RefSeq and is a predicted model, not a curated record. The transcript has 3 exons.
GCGGUGGAGGUUGUGAGGCCGCACUGUUACUAUGUCCUGCUCCCUAGGUUACCGCCCCUGAGGGGAUUAGAAGAUUUAAGGAACACAAAGAGUCACAGAGUGUCCUGCAAAAAAAGAGAGGGAUAGAAGCAUGUACAGAAAGACCGAGCAGAGACAUGAGGUUAUGAGAGAAAACAUAACCUGAAGGUGGUGGUGGAAUUUACAGAAAAAGGAAGGACACGGAGAAAAAGCAAACAGCAAGAUAGAGGAUGAAGAGUGGGGGAGAAGAGGAAAAGGAGGAAUGGACAAAAAGAUGAGGAAACAGGAGUUCAGAGAAGUGAAGGAGCCAUUCGAAGAUCACACAGGAAAUCGUCAAGGUUCCCCUUGAAGGACUGUUUGCCUUACAGCAUGUUCUGUUUUCACUUGAGCAGUGCCCCUCAGUCUUUAGUGAGCUGCUCAUCAUACAGGAAUCAUGUAACAGUAUCCUAGGCCGGGGUCCCAUCACUGCAGAUUCCUACUCAGGAGGUGUGCAGUGAGGGCUGAGAUUCUGCAGCUCUGACCGGAACUGGUGUUUAGUGCUCGUCUCUUUUAGUGGGGAUCUGGGUUCUGGCAGAGCCUGUGCCAUUGGCCUGGCUCUGCGUCAGGCCUCACCGAGCCUGUCUAGUCUGCAGAUGCUUAUCUGUGCUGAGCAGGGAGUACUUUGACAAAUACUGUGGCUCCACCCCAGCAAGUUGGACAGGCUGCCUGAUUCUAAGAAACAGGCAGGCAGUGAAACACUGGUUUAGUGAAAGGGUGUUAACUGUGCUCAUAAUUGUGGUGUCAGGCACUAUGUGUGAUGGUUCCCAUGUGUCAAUUUAUUUCAUCCUCGCUGCAGUCUUGUGGAGUGUGCGCUUCGAUCCCCACUGUACAGAUAAGGAAGCUGAGGCUUACGGAGUCUAAGUAACUCAUCUAAAGCUACAUAGCAAGUAAGUAAACUACCCAAAACUGAAAUCCACAGUAGUCUGUUUCCAAAGCCUAAAUUCUUAGCAUUCUGCCUUUCCUCAAUAGAGAUACUACAGAGGUGGUAACAUUCUCUCUCAUUCCAGAUCUGACACUUUCCUUUUGAGUUAGUGUUGUCUUUGCUCUGAUCAAAUGUUUACAACAAUGUAAUAAACCUGGAAAUUUAUCAGGCCAUGCCCAAAGGAGCCUUGAAGAUCUAUAAGGUCUUUUCCAGCUCCAGAUCAGUCUUCUUAAAGUCUAUUUGUCACAAAGGUGCCUCCUCUAGCAUCCUAAAUGCAACAUGAUAGGUGACAAAUGCUCUGAGAGGUAAGGAGGUCCUUGGACUGGAAUCAUGUUGGGAUGGAUGACUAUCCUGAGUAGGUUGGUCGACUACUCAGCAUCUGAUUUAAGCUGGGAAUGACGUUUUCAGGCAUGUAGGCUACAAAUCUUAAGGGCAAAUUUGAUUUGCUACUCACCUCAGACUGCUUCCCAGCAUGGAGGGAAGAUGAUAGGCUUUGGGGCGAAUGACCUAGAAGCAGACCCUGCUUCCCUUCCUGAUCGUGUGAUUCCGUGAACGGUACUUAAGUGCUUUUUUGGGGGAGGGGUGGUUUUUUGAGACAGGGUCUUGCUAUGUAGUUCAGGCUGGCUUUGAACUUACUAUGUAGCACAGACUGGCCUCAAACUCAGGUGGAUCCCCUUGCCUCAGCCUCCCUAGUGCUGGUAGUACUAUGGCUGGCUCAGUACUUAAGCUUUUUUUUUUGGUUUUUCUCCGGUACCGGGAACCGAACUCAGGACCUUGCACUUGCCAGGCAGGCGCUUUGCCGCUGAGCUAAAUCCCCAGCCCCCAAUACUUAAGCUCUUGAACUCCCUCUUCAUGUAAAAUGAGGAUUAAAAUAGCUAACCCGGGUUAUUAGGGUUAGAUAUAAUAUAAAGAAUGGCAUAACACGUGACACUUGGUAAUUGAUAGCUGUGAAUACAAUCUGCAUUUGCUUUAUCAUAGUUGUUAAACAACUAUUCUCCCUUUGUAGCAGCAGAUGGGCUGAUUUCCACGGAAGACCGAAGGAUUCAAUUUUAGGGCAAAACAGAGUUUAUUGAAUUUAGACUGGUCACCGCACAUCCCCGACUAGCAGGUUGGGAAUGUCAGCGAUGGCCUUUGUUUUUAACUUUAAAUACACCUUUGGUUUUUAUGGUAACCAAAGUAUCCUAGGUUAUCUUAUGGUAACCAAGAUUGGACUGUUGUAGCCAUUGACACAGAUGGCCACACACUGUUUUCCUUGUCCCGUGUGACCCGGUCAGGCCCUGGUCAUGAGCCUAACCACAAUGAUAUAUACUUUUGCCCUCUGUUUUGUAUGUCCCACUUUAGAUAACCAUACAUUUCCUUUACGGUUACAAUGUUUAUCUAGGACCAGGGGAGGGGUGAAACAACCCAAACAAGGUCAUAGAUGGUUAUCUAGGCCUGGGUAUUUUCUUCCCUUAAGGAAACAUCCCAGGGCAAAGUUAACUCCUCUGGGAUGUUUCUCAAGACACACUUGAGGCUUGUACUUAAGACUAAGACUACUCUAAUUUAAGAAUGAUAUGCUAAGAGUUGCUGUCCCCUACACCUUAGCCAAAAGUCUUUGCUAAUCAGUUAGAUAUUUUAGUAAAGCUGUUCAAAUUUCAUUACAGUGUCAUUGUAGUCUGACUUUAGAUCCAGAAGUCUGCAUAUUUGCUCAUAGGUUCUUCUUAUAAGACCAAUUUCUAAGACAUACUAGGAAGGACCAGAGGGGUGGUGGUGGUGUGUGUGUUGGAAUAAGGAAACUAGAAUUGUUGAGAAUUUACUUUUAUAAAAAAUCACUUACUGUUGUUGUAAUAUUUGUAUAGUACUUGAAAUAAAAAACAAGUUGACUUUAUUUAUACUUUGGGUUUCUCAUG